GUGUUGUAUGAAAAAAAAAAAUUGCUAGUAUUUUUCUUGAUAAGAAUGGAAGUCCUAGUGGUUUUUACAACAUAUAUGUGGUUAAAGCCUUGCUGCUUAUUCUUUGACACUUAAUUAUAUUUUUCU
Small nuclear RNA from Antechinus flavipes (yellow-footed antechinus), 126 nucleotides. NCBI's taxonomy places the organism in Eukaryota, Metazoa, Chordata, Mammalia, Dasyuromorphia, Dasyuridae. The record is from RefSeq and is a predicted model, not a curated record.